GGUGGACUCGUCGACUCCGCAGUUGCGCGGUUGGUGUAUUUGAUUACAAAUAGCAGACGAAUCGUCCACGUCCAUAGAUCGCAACCACAACAAAUGGUAGUACAGGAAGCAAGGUUUAGCUUUCCCACAACUAAUUUUAUGUGCGUUCAAUGGAAACGUCAGACAAGAUGUCCUCAAUCCUUGCCCGUAUAUUAUUUUUCCCUUCAUUAGCAUACAAUGUAAUGAUGGAAAAGAUAUCAAGCAGACAGUGGUAUAAUCACGUCGACAAUCAUGUAAUUCUGGGAGCAUUGCCUUUACGAUAUAAAACUCGAGAGCUCGUUGAACAAGAAAAAGUGAAUGCAAUUGUUUCCCUUAAUGAAGAUUAUGAAGUUAGAUAUUUAACAAAUCAACCAGAGGAAUGGAAAAAGCUAGGUGUUGAAAAUAUUCGCUUUUCUGUGGUUGAUAUGUUUGAAGCACCUCCUCAAGAAAUGCUCCUAGAGGGUGUGGAAUUCAUGAACAAUACAGUCUCUAAAGGCGGUGUGGUAUAUGUGCACUGCAAAGCAGGUCGAUCAAGAAGUGCUGCUCUAGUUGCCUGUUACUUGAUGAAGAAACAUGGCUGGACUCCAGUACAAGCUAUUUUGCAUCUCAAAUCUGUGAGGCCACAUAUUCUCCUUCCUCCUAAUAAAGUUGAAGCCUUGGAUACUUUCUAUAAAAAUGAAGUUUUGUGCAAUUCAACAUAAUGUGUUAUUGUGACUAGAUGAAAAGCUGCAUGAUUUAUAAAGCUAUCGCCUGUUCAGCUUCUCCCCGCAACUGGCAGUACGAAAAAGAUACAGAAAAAUUUCUGAAUUCCAUGGUCGUAAACGACGGCCGACAAAAUGGCAAAAAGAAUUGUGCAAUCCCUUUCCGCUUUUUCCCCUCCAAAUUUCAACAAAAUGGUUACAAAUAAUAAGUGAAGCAACAAAUUUGAUCUAAUAGUUAGAAAACAGUACAGUUGUGGGCUUAGUGUGGACAGGACAUGGUGCGCUUAUUACCUCUCUUCAACAAGCAAUUUGAUCUUAUUGUUGAGGUAAUUUAUGUGGUCUUAAUCAUCACAAACACAGGUUUAUUAUAUCAAGACAAAAGAUGUGCAACAGAUUUUUGCAGUAUCUCGAGAAGAAUUUUUCUUGCUUCGGUCAAGACGUAAACGACGAUAAUUCAGCUGAGGAGCGCAGUGACAGGGAUGAUGACGAUCACAGUUCUUCUCAGAGUGAAAACAGUUCUUCUGAAAGAGAAAGUUUUCAAAGUUACAGUGAUGAUGACGACGAUGAGGAAGGCGCGGGAGAAGACGUUGUGGAGUCUACCGGAAGGAGCGCAACUCGGAAUUCAAGCUAUGAGGAUUGUUAUUCCAAAGCAAUGGGUUCAACAACGAAUAGUAUGAAGAAUGUGGAAUCCCUCAAAUCUUUCAAUGGACCAAGUAGAAACAAUUCACCAGAAGAAAAAAAGAACAAGUACGUACCGGUAAAAAUUAGAAGUAACGUAAGAAGCCAGAAAAUUAAUCAGGAGAUUCCAGAGAAACUAUCAAAAAGUGACACCCGUCACGCAAAACAGACCCGUCAGCAGCCCGAGGGCAGCCGGAAAGUUUCAAGCAAAACCGCCACAACAACGCUGCCGAAGGAGGAGAUGAAGAAGAAAACUCAGAGCAAACUUUCGAAUAAGGCGCCAACUGCAAAAGAGGAUAAAAAUUUCAAAAAGAAAGAUGACAAGAAAGCAGUAGGUAAACAGGAUCGCAAAAAAACGCCAGCUGGUGAAAAGAAAUCUCCAUUAAAAAGCAAAGAAGAAAACAAGAAUUUCAGAACUAAAUCGGUCGAAAAACCUAAAGAAAAAUUGGAAAAAGAAAGGAAAAGUCCCCCAAAGGAAAAACGGAAGACGGAAGAAGUUAAGCAAAGUGGGAAACAUUUGGAAGCAGUUACAGACAGCAGCAAGAAAUUGAAAUCAAAAUCAAACAAGACUGAAAUAAUGAAAUCGGCUCCAUUGCAGAACAAAACUGUCGCUAAUAAGAAAUUGGAACCUAAAAUGCCCAUGAAGAAUGGAUUGAAAAAAAAUAACAUCAGUAGAGCUGGUACGUUUGCUAAAAGGACAAGAAGUCUUCCUGGUCGGAGUGUUCCAAAAUUUACAUCAAAAUCUAUCCAUAAAAGAAGACUAACAAAAUAAAAAUAACUUGCUAGACCUACUCGUGAUGAUGAAAUUAUUGAAACCAAAGCUUCGUUUCCCACCAGCGACUUGCCAUUCUAAUAUGUCCAGUGUUAUAAAAUUGUACAAACAAUGUUGGUUGUUGUAACAUUUUUGGAUUUUUGUUACAAUAUAAAUUUAAUGUGAA
Molecule: RNA transcript, 2335 nt
Organism: Daphnia pulex (common water flea)
Lineage: Eukaryota; Metazoa; Arthropoda; Branchiopoda; Diplostraca; Daphniidae
Gene name: phosphatidylglycerophosphatase and protein-tyrosine phosphatase 1-like
Exons: 7
Source: RefSeq, a predicted model, not a curated record